RNAcentral lists this ribosomal RNA (460 nucleotides) under uncultured bacterium. RNAcentral describes it as "partial 16S ribosomal RNA". It matches the Rfam family "Bacterial small subunit ribosomal RNA", at positions 338 to 795 of the family's 1533-position model. The record is from RNAcentral.
CCUACGGGAGGCAGCAGUGAGGAAUAUUGGUCAAUGGUCGGGAGACUGAACCAGCCAAGCCGCGUGAGGGAGGAAGGUACAGAGUAUCGUAAACCUCUUUUGUCAGGGGACAAAGGCUGGGACGCGUCCCCGGAUGAGUGUAACUUAAGAAAAAGCAUCGGCUAACUCCGUGCCAGCAGCCGCGGUAAUACGGAGGAUGCGAGCGUUAUCCGGAUUUAUUGGGUUUAAAGGGUGCGGAGGCGGUCCUUUAAGUUAGCGGUGAAAUCCCGGGGCCCAACUCCGGCCCCGCCGUUGAUACUGGCAGUCUCGAGUUGGAGAGAGGUAUGCGGAAUGCGCGGUGUAGCGGUGAAAUGCAUAGAGAUCGCGCAGAACUCCGAUUGCGAAGGCAGCAUGCCGGCUCCACACUGACGCUGAGGCACGAAAGCGUGGGUAUCGAACAGGAUUAGAUACCCCAGUAGUC